This is a long non-coding RNA of Cyprinus carpio (common carp), 421 nucleotides long. RefSeq lists it as uncharacterized. Lineage: Eukaryota; Metazoa; Chordata; Actinopteri; Cypriniformes; Cyprinidae. The record is from RefSeq and is a predicted model, not a curated record. The transcript is spliced from 3 exons.
GGCGGUCAGCUUGGCCCAGCCCCAAACUUCAUUGCACAUUGGUGCUAUAAGGUCCUGUGUAGUGGCUCUCUAGAGUUUGCGCACCUAGAAAAAAAUUAUCUGGGAGAUGGGCCCUUUCGUGAUCUUACAGCACAGGUUGAAUCAGCUACAGAAAGCUCAAUUACAGAGCUCACAGAAGACAUUUUGAGCUGUGGCUAUCUAGGCGUAGUCAGCUUAGAGAAGAAGGAUGAAAUUAUCCGAGCUAUUAUCCUACAUGCCACUCUUAAGUUGAUCCCUAUGCUGCAAGAGAUUAGGAAGGGUUUGCAGCUUUAUGGCAUUGGUGGUCUUAUGGAAAAACACCCAGAAAUUUGUCAGCCUCUGUUUGUUCCUGGGACAGAAACGGCAGUAAGUAUAGUAGUAGUAGUAGGCUUAGGGUGACACA